AUUGAACGCUGGCGGCAGGCUUAACACAUGCAAGUCGGGCGGGGGAAGGUAGCUUGCUACUGGACCUAGCGGCGGACGGGUGAGUAAUGCUUAGGAAUCUGCCUAUUAGUGGGGGACAACAUCUCGAAAGGGAUGCUAAUACCGCAUACGUCCUACGGGAGAAAGCAGGGGAUCUUCGGACCUUGCGCUAAUAGAUGAGCCUAAGUCGGAUUAGCUAGUUGGUGGGGUAAAGGCCUACCAAGGCGACGAUCUGUAGCGGGUCUGAGAGGAUGAUCCGCCACACUGGGACUGAGACACGGCCCAGACUCCUACGGGAGGCAGCAGUGGGGAAUAUUGGACAAUGGGGGGAACCCUGAUCCAGCCAUGCCGCGCGUGUGAAGAAGGCCUUAUGGUUGUAAAGCACUUUAAGCGAGGAGGAGGCUACUUUAGUUAAUACCUAGAGAUAGUGGACGUUACUCGCAGAAUAAGCACCGGCUAACUCUGUGCCAGCAGCCGCCGUAA
RNAcentral lists this ribosomal RNA (501 nucleotides) under uncultured bacterium. RNAcentral's name for it is "partial 16S ribosomal RNA". It matches the Rfam family "Bacterial small subunit ribosomal RNA", at positions 30 to 523 of the family's 1533-position model. The record is from RNAcentral.